AUUGAACGCUGGCGGCAGGCCUAACACAUGCAAGUCGAGCGAGCGGCGGACGGGUGAGUAAUGCCUGGGAAUUGCCCAGUCGAGGGGGAUAACAGUUGGAAACGCCUGCUAAUACCGCAUACGAUUGGAAUGCCCAGGUGGGAUUAGCUUGUUGGUGGGGUAAUGGCUCACCAAGGCGACGAUCCGUCGCUGGUCUGAUAGGAUGUUCAGCCACACUGGAACUGGCACACGGUCCAGACUCCUACGGGAGGCAACAGUGGGGAAUAUUGCACAAUGGAGGAAACCCUGAUGCAGCCAUGCCGCGGAUGUGAAGAAGGCCUUCGGGUUGUAAGGCACUUUAAGCGAGACGGCGUUACUCGCAGAAGAAGCACCGGCUAACUCCGUGCCAGCAGCCGCGGUAAUUC
RNAcentral lists this ribosomal RNA (404 nucleotides) under uncultured bacterium. Its description in RNAcentral is "partial 16S ribosomal RNA". It matches the Rfam family "Bacterial small subunit ribosomal RNA", at positions 30 to 526 of the family's 1533-position model. The record is from RNAcentral.